Molecule: ribosomal RNA, 429 nt
Filed under: Bacteroidota bacterium
Lineage: Bacteria; Pseudomonadati; Bacteroidota
Description: Bacteroidetes bacterium partial 16S ribosomal RNA
Rfam family: Bacterial small subunit ribosomal RNA
Source: RNAcentral
UAGGGAAUCUUCCGCAAUGGACGCAAGUCUGACGGAGCAACGCCGAGUGAGGGAAGAAGGAUUUCGGUUCGUAAAACUCUGUUGUUAGAGAAGAACAGCGCAGAGAGUAACUGUUAUGCGGGUGACGGUAUCUAACCAGAAAGCCACGGCUAACGACGUGCCAGCAGCCGCGGUAAUACGUAGGAGGCAAGCGUUGUCCGGAUUUAUUGGGAGUAAAGCGAGCGCAGGCGGUCAAUUAAGUCUGAUGUGAAAGCCCCCGGCUCAACCGGGGAGGUGCAUUGGAAACUGGUUGACUUGAGUGCAGAAGAGGAGAGUGGAAUUCCAUGUGUAGCGGUGAUAUGCGUAGAUAUAUGGAGAAACACCAGUGGCGAAGGCGACUCUCUGGUCUGUAACUGUCGCUGAGGCUCGAAAGCGUGGGUAGCAAACAGG